This 496-nucleotide ribosomal RNA is filed under the name uncultured bacterium. RNAcentral's name for it is "partial 16S ribosomal RNA". It matches the Rfam family "Bacterial small subunit ribosomal RNA", at positions 30 to 523 of the family's 1533-position model. The record is from RNAcentral.
AUUGAACGCUGGCGGAAUGCUUUACACAUGCAAGUCGAACGGUAGAGGGGGCAACCCCUCGAGAGUGGCGAACGGGUGAGUAAUAUAUCGGAACGUGCCCAGUCGUGGGGGAUAACGUAGCGAAAGUUACGCUAAUACCGCAUACGAUCUAAGGAUGAAAGCGGGGGAUCGUAAGACCUUGCGCGUUAGGAGCGGCCGAUGGCGGAUUAGCUAGUUGGUAGGGUAAAGGCCUACCAAGGCGACGAUCCGUAGCGGGUCUGAGAGGACGACCAGCCACACUGGAACUGAGACACGGUCCAGACUCCUACGGGAGGCAGCAGUGGGGAAUUUUGGACAACGGGCGAAAGCCUGAUCCAGCCAUUCCGCGUGCAGGAUGAAGGCCCUCGGGUUGUAAACUGCUUUUGUACAGAACGAAAAGGUUUCUACUAAUACUGGGAGCUCAUGACGGUACUGUAAGAAUAAGCACCGGCUAACUACGUGCCAGCCGCCGCAGUAA